CAGGGCCUUCCUGUCCGGCUUCUGGGUGCGCCCACUGGUCACCCCUCGGGUCCCCUCCCUCCUGGGGAAGGGGCUUUCCCACGAGGCGGGAGGCGGGACAAAAGCCACCAGGAGCCGCCCUCUAUCCUGAGUGCCGCUGGAGACCUUCCGCUUGACUGGCCCUUUAAGUGACUCUCCGCCGCAUUCACUCCAAUAGGCGGGCAUCCACAGCCCGCCACCGCCAGCGCAGCCCAGAGACCAGCCGCGCAGCCGCGAGCCCUUUAAUAGACUCUCUGCCGUAUUCACCUCAAUAGGCGGGCACUACACGCCACCGCCUGGCCUCCGGCGGCCUUCGUGCUCCCUCCUUCCGCAAGAACAGCCCUUCCCCGCGUGGAGGCGGCUGAGGACCGGCUCAUGGCAGUCACGGAGCCAGCGAAGUAAGGGACAAAGGCGCUGCCUCUGCCUGCUGGCCUGCGGAGGACUGGGAGGCCUCACCCUCUCCUGGCUCAGAAUCGCGUCUGCUGGGGCCUGGCCCAUCCCGCAGGCCAUCCCUCCCUCUGCCCUCCCGGGGACUUGCCUGUCUCAGACGGCAGAGCUGGUCUCCACCUGGGAAGCAAACUCCCCUGGCCUUGGACAAGGAAAGUGACUGGUCACAAGGAGCAGCCUGGCCAGCAGCCUGUGGGAUGGGGUGUCCCCAGAUCCCUUCCUUGCGCUCUCAUUAAACCUUGUAAAAAUCUGUAUCAAGAGUUGUGGAGCCUCACCUUUCAGCCCUUCAGCCCUUCAGCCCAGCCCGGGUCAGAGGGCCCAGGCCAUUCAGGCCACUCUGUUUGCCAAAUAAAAUAUUAGGCAUUCCUCCCAGAUCAUGCUGGCUGCUGGCUAGAGAAGGACUGGAGGAGGCAAGAAUGGAGAGCCUGUUUUGGAUGGCUAGUGUGGUCCUCCAGGCAGGAGCGGGUGGCAGCUGGAGGAGAGCGGAGGCCGGGCCUGGAGAGAAGAGUGGAUGUGAGGUUCCGUAGCCAUGGGGCAGACCUGGCACUGAGAGCAAUAGUGUUCCUUGGUGACGGCUGGGAGUGGCAAAAGAACCUCCCAGGGCAGCAUUGUCCUUCUGCACCAACCAACGUCUGGCCCCAACACACGACAGUACCCACCCGGGCUCCCCUGCCACCCAGCGAGCAGCCAGGCAGUUCCACCUCCCUGAUCCGUGGAGCCCAUGGUGGGAACUGCACCUCAGGCUUCCUUCAUGUCAAAAUGACU
Molecule: long non-coding RNA, 1230 nt
Filed under: Equus asinus (donkey)
Lineage: Eukaryota; Metazoa; Chordata; Mammalia; Perissodactyla; Equidae
Description: lncRNA (ENSEASG00005038214.1)
Source: RNAcentral